ACGCUCGACACCUACGUGAGGCAGCAGUCGGGAAUAUUGCGCAAUGGAGGAAACUCUGACGCAGUGACGCCGCGUAUAGGAAGAAGGUUUUCGGAUUGUAAACUAUUGUCGUUAGGGAAGAGAAAGGACAGUACCUAAGGAGGAAGCUCCGGCUAACUACGUGCCAGCACGCCGGAGUAUNGAGGCGGNGNGAGAG
This 196-nucleotide ribosomal RNA is filed under the name uncultured bacterium. RNAcentral's name for it is "partial 16S ribosomal RNA". It matches the Rfam family "Bacterial small subunit ribosomal RNA", at positions 328 to 538 of the family's 1533-position model. The record is from RNAcentral.